RNAcentral lists this ribosomal RNA (510 nucleotides) under uncultured bacterium. Its description in RNAcentral is "partial 16S ribosomal RNA". It matches the Rfam family "Bacterial small subunit ribosomal RNA", at positions 28 to 507 of the family's 1533-position model. The record is from RNAcentral.
GACGAACGCUGGCGGCGUGCUUAACACAUGCAAGUCGAACGAAGAGCGAUGGAAGCUUGCUUCUAUCAAUCUUAGUGGCGAACGGGUGAGUAACGCGUAAUCAACCUGCCCUUCAGAGGGGGACAACAGUUGGAAACGACUGCUAAUACCGCAUACGAUCUAAUCUCGGCAUCGAGGAUAGAUGAAAGGUGGCCUCUACAUGUAAGCUAUCACUGAAGGAGGGGAUUGCGUCUGAUUAGCUAGUUGGAGGGGUAACGGCCCACCAAGGCGAUGAUCAGUAGCCGGUCUGAGAGGAUGAACGGCCACAAUGGGACUGAGACACGGCCCAGACUCCUACGGGAGGCAGCAGUGGGGAAUCUUCCGCAAUGGACGAAAGUCUGACGGAGCAACGCCGCGUGAGGGAUGACGGCCUUCGGGUUGUAAAGCUCUGUUAAUCGGGACGAAAGGCCUUCUUGCGAAUAGUGAGAAGGAUUGACGGUACCGGAAUAGAAAGCCACGGCUAACUACGUG